This 429-nucleotide ribosomal RNA is filed under the name Bacillus cereus. Its description in RNAcentral is "bacterial SSU rRNA". It matches the Rfam family "Bacterial small subunit ribosomal RNA", at positions 1044 to 1469 of the family's 1533-position model. Lineage: Bacteria; Bacillati; Bacillota; Bacilli; Caryophanales; Bacillaceae. The record is from RNAcentral.
CAUGGGCUGUCGUCCAGCCUGUGUCGUGAGGAUGUUGGGGUUAGGUCCCGUAACGAGCGCAACCCUUGUCCUUUAGUUACCCAGCACGUAAUGGUGGGCACUCUAAGGAGACUGCCGGUGACAAACCCGGAGGAAGGUGGGGAUGACGUCAAGUCAUCAUGGCCCUUACGGCCAGGGCUACACACGUGCUACAAUGGUCGGUACAAAGGGUUGCCAAGCCGCGAGGUGGAGCUAAUCCCAUAAAACCGAUCGUAGUCCGGAUCGCAGUCUGCAACUCGACUGCGUGAAGUCGGAAUCGCUAGUAAUCGUGAAUCAGAAUGUCACGGUGAAUACGUUCCCGGGCCUUGUACACACCGCCCGUCACACACAUGGAGUGGGUUGCUCCAGAAGUAGCUAGUCUAACUCGGGGACGUACCACGACGAUCAGUC